UGAGUUUGAUCAUGGCUCAGGACGAACGCUGGCGGCAUGCCUAAUACAUGCAAGUCGAACGAUGACGUCCUCUGCUUGCAGAGGACUGAUUAGUGGCGAACGGGUGAGUAACACGUGGGAAAUCUGCCCAUGAGCGGGGGAUAACAUUCGGAAACGGAUGCUAAUACCGCAUACGUCAAUGGACCGCAUGGUCCGCUGAUCAAAGAUGGCUUCGGCUAUCACUCAUGGAUGAUCCCGCGGCGCAUUAGUUAGUUGGUGGGGUAACGGCCUACCAAGACAGUGAUGCGUAGCCGACCUGAGAGGGUGAUCGGCCACACUGGGACUGAGACACGGCCCAGACUCCUACGGGAGGCAGCAGUAGGGAAUCUUCCACAAUGGGCGCAAGCCUGAUGGAGCAAUGCCGCGUGAAUGAAGAAGGUCUUCGGAUCGUAAAGUUCUGUUAUUAGAGAAGAACAAGGUGAGGAGUAACUGCCUUACCCUUGACGGUACCUAACCAGAAAGUCACGGCUAACUACGUGCCAGCAGCCGCGGUAAUACGUAGGUGACAAGCGUUGUCCGGAAUUAUUGGGCGUAAAGGGAGCGCAGGCGGUUGGAAUAGUCUGAUGUGAAAGCCCACGGCUUAACCGUGGAAGGUCAUUGGAAACUGUCCAACUUGAAUGCAGAAGAGGAAAGCGGAAUUCCAUGUGUAGCGGUGAAAUGCGUAGAUAUAUGGAGGAACACCAGUGGCGAAGGCGGCUUUCUGGUCUGUGAUUGACGCUGAGGCUCGAAAGCGUGGG
This 776-nucleotide ribosomal RNA is filed under the name uncultured bacterium. RNAcentral describes it as "bacterial SSU rRNA". It matches the Rfam family "Bacterial small subunit ribosomal RNA", at positions 1 to 765 of the family's 1533-position model. The record is from RNAcentral.